Molecule: unclassified non-coding RNA, 321 nt
Filed under: Hevea brasiliensis (rubber tree)
Lineage: Eukaryota; Viridiplantae; Streptophyta; Magnoliopsida; Malpighiales; Euphorbiaceae
Source: RNAcentral
GGAAAGAAAAAUAUGGGAGGAAAAGUCAUGGGACCGACAAAACAUUGUCACUCCAAAUAUGGAUAAAAAAUGGGAGGAAGGUGUAUAAAAUUCCCAUUGUAUCCUUUUAAUGACUUCUCCAGAAGAAAAAAUAUAAGAGUAAAAACAUAAUUUUACCCCUCCGAACCAAAUUUCUUUUGUAUUUUUUAUUUUCUAUCCAAACAAUAGGUGGAAAAUACCAUUUUUUGUUUCUUCACAUUUUACGGUUCAUUUUUGUUCCUCCCAUUUUCUUGCCUUCCUCUCCUUUUUUCCCAAAUAAGCUGUUAAAGAGUUAAACGAAAC